AGUGAACGCUGGCGGUAGGCCUAACACAUGCAAGUCGAACGGCAGCACAGUAAGAGCUUGCUCUUACGGGUGGCGAGUGGCGGACGGGUGAGGAAUACAUCGGAAUCUACUUUUUCGUGGGGGAUAACGUAGGGAAACUUACGCUAAUACCGCAUACGACCUACGGGUGAAAGCAGGGGAUCUUCGGACCUUGCGCGAUUGAAUGAGCCGAUGUCGGAGUAGCUAGUGGGCGGGGUAAAGGCCCACCAAGUCGACGAUCCGUAGCUGGUCUGAGAGGAUGAUCAGCCACACUGGAACUGAGACACGGUCCAGACUCCUACGGGAGGCAGCAGUGGGGAAUAUUGGACAAUGGGCGCAAGCCUGAUCCAGCCAUACCGCGUGGGUGAAGAAGGCCUUCGGGUUGUAAAGCCCUUUUGUUGGGAAAGAAAAGCAGCAGGUUAAUACCCCGCUGUUCUGACGGUACCCAAAGAAUAAGCACCGGCUAACUUCGUG
This 492-nucleotide ribosomal RNA is filed under the name uncultured bacterium. Its description in RNAcentral is "partial 16S ribosomal RNA". It matches the Rfam family "Bacterial small subunit ribosomal RNA", at positions 29 to 507 of the family's 1533-position model. The record is from RNAcentral.